Molecule: ribosomal RNA, 773 nt
Filed under: Drosophila littoralis
Lineage: Eukaryota; Metazoa; Arthropoda; Insecta; Diptera; Drosophilidae
Description: partial 16S ribosomal RNA
Source: RNAcentral
AUUAUGCUACCUUUGCACAGUUAGAAUACUGCGGCCAUUUAAAAUUUUUCAGUGGGCAGGUUAGACUUUAAAUUUAAUUCAAAAAGACAUGUUUUUGUUAAACAGGCGGAUAUUAUUUUUGCCGAAUUCUUUAUUUAAACUUAUCACUUAAAUUUAUUUUACAAUAAAAUAUACUAAUUCUAUCAUUAUUACUUAAUUUUAAAAAUUAAAAUUAAUAUUUCGAUAAAAAUUUAAAAUAUAAUAAAUAAUUUAAUUUAUAAAAUAAAUUAUAACACAAUUUUUAAUAAUUGCUAAUUCUAAGCAUAUAUUUUUUAAAUUUAUUUAUUAUUUAUAAAAAUUUAUUUUAUAGCUUAUCCCAUAAAAUAUUAAAAUUACAAAUUAUUUAAUUAAAAAAAUUUUUUAAAUAAUUUACAAUUUCUAAAUUAAAUUUAUUUCUCGAAAAACUAGAUACCUUCAAAAACGAAUAACAUUUCAUUUCUAAUAUAAUAUUUAAAAUAAUUUUAUUACAUUAACUUUUAUAUUAUAUUAACUCUUUUAAAAUCGAGAAAAAUAUAUUUAAAUAUUUUUUAUUUAAUAAACGCUGAUACACAAGGUACAAUAAAUUAAAUUUUCUUUUAAAAUAAAAAUUUUUCAAAAUAUUUCAAUUUUCUUUUACAAUACUAUUAAACUAUUAUUAAAAUUAUUUUUUCUUUAAACAAUACUAAAACUUUUUCUAAUAUAAUUGAUUUUAAUACUUUUGAAUAAAAUUUAUAAAAUUAAUAAAUAAAAUCUAA